RNAcentral lists this ribosomal RNA (253 nucleotides) under uncultured bacterium. Its description in RNAcentral is "partial 16S ribosomal RNA". It matches the Rfam family "Bacterial small subunit ribosomal RNA", at positions 524 to 776 of the family's 1533-position model. The record is from RNAcentral.
UACGUAGGGCGCAAGCGUUGUCCGGAAUUAUUGGGCGUAAAGAGCUCGUAGGCGGCCUGUUGCGUCCGCUGUGAAAACCCGGGGCUUAACCCCGGGCUUGCAGUGGAUACGGGCAGGCUGGAGGCAGGCAGGGGAGAACGGAAUUCCCGGUGUAGCGGUGAAAUGCGUAGAUAUCAGGAGGAACACCGGUGGCGAAGGCGGGUCUCUGGGCCGACACUGACGCUGAGGAGCGAAAGCGUGGGGAGCGAACAGG